RNAcentral lists this ribosomal RNA (274 nucleotides) under uncultured bacterium. Its description in RNAcentral is "partial 16S ribosomal RNA". It matches the Rfam family "Bacterial small subunit ribosomal RNA", at positions 523 to 796 of the family's 1533-position model. The record is from RNAcentral.
AUACGGAGGGUGCGAGCGUUGUUCGGAAUUAUUGGGCGUAAAGAGCAUGUAGGCGGUCUGUUAAGUCUGGUGUGAAAGCCCGGGGCUCAACCCCGGAAGUGCAUUGGAUACUGGCAGACUUGAGUAUGGGAGCGGAAAGCGGAAUUCCGAGUGUAGGAGUGAAAUCCGUAGAUAUUCGGAGGAACACCAGUGGCGAAGGCGGCUUUCUGGACCAAUACUGACGCUGAGAUGCGAAAGCGUGGGGAGCGAACAGGAUUAGAAACCCCAGUAGUCC